Molecule: ribosomal RNA, 490 nt
Filed under: uncultured bacterium
Lineage: Bacteria
Description: partial 16S ribosomal RNA
Rfam family: Bacterial small subunit ribosomal RNA
Source: RNAcentral
GAUGAACGCUAGCUACAGGCUUAACACAUGCAAGUCGCGGGGCAGCAUGGGGGUUGCUUGCCAUCCCCGAUGGCGACCGGCGCACGGGUGAGUAACGCGUGUCCAACCUGCCCUUCACCACGGGAUAACCCGGCGAAAGUCGGACUAAUACCGUAUGUUGUCCAUUGACGGCAUCCGAUUUGGACGAAAGGCUUGGCGGUGAGGGAUGGGGAUGCGUCCGAUUAGCCAGACGGCGGGGUAACGGCCCACCGUGGCUACGAUCGGUAGGGGUUCUGAGAGGAAGGUCCCCCACACUGGAACUGAGACACGGUCCAGACUCCUACGGGAGGCAGCAGUGAGGAAUAUUGGUCAAUGGGCGUAAGCCUGAACCAGCCAAGUAGCGUGCAGGAUGACGGCCCUAUGGGUUGUAAACUGCUUUUAUGCGGGGAUAAAGUGGCCCACGUGUGGGCUUUUGCAGGUACCGCAUGAAUAAGGACCGGCUAAUUCCGUG